GUGCUAGUUUUGGCAGUGCACAUAAAAAAAAAAUCGGAAUGACAGAGAUUACCCUGGCCCCUGCACAAAGGUGACAACCAAAUUCAUGAUGUUCCUGUAUUUAU
Molecule: small nuclear RNA, 104 nt
Filed under: Chlorocebus sabaeus (green monkey)
Lineage: Eukaryota; Metazoa; Chordata; Mammalia; Primates; Cercopithecidae
Source: RNAcentral